GACCUCAAAUCAGGUAGGACUACCCGCUGAACUUAAGCAUAUCAAUAAGCGGAGGAAAAGAAACUAACAAGGAUUCCCCUAGUAACUGCGAGUGAAGCGGGAAAAGCUCAAAUUUAAAAUCUGUCAGUCUUUGGCUGUCCGAGUUGUAAUCUAGAGAAGUGUUAUCCGCGCUGGACCGUGUACAAGUCUCCUGGAAUGGAGCGUCAUAGAGGGUGAGAAUCCCGUCUUUGACACGGACUGCCAGGGCUUUGUGAUGCGCUCUCAAAGAGUCGAGUUGUUUGGGAAUGCAGCUCAAAAUGGGUGGUAAAUUCCAUCUAAAGCUAAAUAUUGGCGAGAGACCGAUAGCGAACAAGUACCGUGAGGGAAAGAUGAAAAGAACUUUGGAAAGAGAGUUAAACAGUACGUGAAAUUGCUGAAAGGGAAACGCUUGAAGUCAGUCGCGUUAGCCAGGGAUCAACCUUUGCUUUUGCUUGGUGUACUUUCUGGUUGACGGGUCAGCAUCAAUUUUGACUGUUGGAAAAAGAUUAAGGGAAUGUGGCAUCUUUGGAUGUGUUAUAGCCCUUGGUUGCAUACAAUUGGUUGGGAUUGAGGAACUCAC
Molecule: ribosomal RNA, 598 nt
Filed under: Cortinarius illibatus
Lineage: Eukaryota; Fungi; Basidiomycota; Agaricomycetes; Agaricales; Cortinariaceae
Description: eukaryotic LSU rRNA
Rfam family: Eukaryotic large subunit ribosomal RNA
Source: RNAcentral